AUUGAACGCUGGCGGCAGGCUUAACACAUGCAAGUCGAACGAGUGGCGGACGGGUGAGUAAUGCCUGGGAAACUGGCUGAUGGAGGGGGAUAACUACGGGAAACGGUAGCUAAUACCGCAUACCAUACGAUGAGCCCAGGUGGGAUUAGCUAGUUGGUGGGGUAACGGCUCACCAAGCCGACGAUCCCUAGCUGGUCUGAGAGGAUGACCAGCCACACUGGGACUGAGACACGGUCCAGACUCCUACGGGAGGCAGCAGUGGGGACUAUUGCACAAUGGGCGCAAGCCUGAUGCAGCCAUGCCGCGUGUAUGAAGAAGGCCUUCGGGUUGUAAAGUACUUUCAGUGGGGAGGCGUUACCCACAGAAGAAGCACCGGCUAACUCCGUGCCAGCAGCCGCGGUAAUAC
This 406-nucleotide ribosomal RNA is filed under the name uncultured bacterium. RNAcentral describes it as "partial 16S ribosomal RNA". It matches the Rfam family "Bacterial small subunit ribosomal RNA", at positions 30 to 526 of the family's 1533-position model. The record is from RNAcentral.